This 303-nucleotide ribosomal RNA is filed under the name uncultured bacterium. RNAcentral's name for it is "partial 16S ribosomal RNA". It matches the Rfam family "Bacterial small subunit ribosomal RNA", at positions 507 to 809 of the family's 1533-position model. The record is from RNAcentral.
AGCAGUAGCCGCGGUAAAACAGAGGGUGCGAGCGUUAAUCGGAUUUACUGGGCGUAAAGCGUGCGUAGGCGGCUAAUUGAGUCGGAUGUGAAAUCCCCGAGCUUAACUUGGGAAUUGCAUUCGAUACUGGUUAGCUAGAGUGUGGGAGAGGAUGGUAGAAUUCCAGGUGUAGCGGUGAAAUGCGUAGAUCUGGAGGAAUACCGAUGGCGAAGGCAGCCAUCUGGCCUAACACUGACGCUGAGGUACGAAAGCAUGGGGAGCAAACAGGAUUAGAUACCCGUGUAGUCCCUGUCUCUUAUACAC